ACGGUACCUCAAGAGGAAGCCACGGCUAACUCUGUGCCAGCAGCCGCGGUAAUACAGAGGUGGCAAGCGUUGUUCGGAUUUACUGGGCGUAAAGGGUGCGUAGGCGGCCUUGUGUGUCAGGUGUGAAAUCCCACGGCUCACCCGUGGAAAUGCACUUGAAACUGCAGGGAUCGAGUUCAGGAGAGGUAAGCGGAAUUCUUGGUGUAGCAGUGAAAUGCGUAGAUAUCAAGAGGAACACCGGUGGCGAAGGCGGCUUACUGGACUGAUACUGACGCUGAGGCACGAAAGCCAGGGUAGCAAAAAGGAUUAGAUACCCUUGUAGUCCUGGCCGUAAACGGUGUGCACUUGGUGUGGGAGGACUUAUACCCCUUCCGUGCCGUAGCUAACGUGAUAAGUGCACCGCCUGGGGAGUACGGUCGCAAGAUUAAAACUCAAAGGAAUUGACGGGGGCCCGCACAAGCGGUGGAGCAUGUGGCUUAAUUCGAUGCAACGCGAAGAACCUUACCUGGGUUUGACAUGGGAGCCCUUCGGGGUUAAUCCGGUGAAAGCCGGGUG
This 555-nucleotide ribosomal RNA is filed under the name uncultured bacterium. Its description in RNAcentral is "bacterial SSU rRNA". It matches the Rfam family "Bacterial small subunit ribosomal RNA", at positions 472 to 1014 of the family's 1533-position model. The record is from RNAcentral.